Molecule: non-coding RNA, 26 nt
Filed under: Homo sapiens (human)
Lineage: Eukaryota; Metazoa; Chordata; Mammalia; Primates; Hominidae
Source: RNAcentral
UAGAGAAGAACUGAGGGGGUGUGGGC